GCUGGUCUGGCGCGUUCUGAUUCCUUGCCCUCAAGAAUAAAAAUGGAACUGAUAAAACAACAUCGUCUCCAUCACAUAGUUGCUUAUACACCAGUGUUACCAGUGUUACCAGUGAAGGAGUGAAGGAAUUCCAACCAUCCCUUUCUUUAUUUGUAUUUUCAGUUUUGAAAAAGGUGGAAGUGAUCAAACAAGGUUCUGUC
This 200-nucleotide long non-coding RNA is filed under the name Panicum hallii. RNAcentral's name for it is "long non-coding RNA (PHAL_LNC000681)". The record is from RNAcentral. Lineage: Eukaryota; Viridiplantae; Streptophyta; Magnoliopsida; Poales; Poaceae.